Molecule: ribosomal RNA, 423 nt
Filed under: uncultured bacterium
Lineage: Bacteria
Description: partial 16S ribosomal RNA
Rfam family: Bacterial small subunit ribosomal RNA
Source: RNAcentral
ACUUUUGUACAAUGGGGGAAACCCUGAUACAACCAUCCCGCGUGUAUGAUGAAGGNCUNNGGGUUNUNAAGUACUUUUGGUAGNNNNNAAAAGAUAUCUACUAAUACGAGAUAAUGCUGACGGUAUCUGAAGAAGAAGCACCGGCGAACUACGUGCCAGCAGCCGCGGUAAUACGGAGGGUGCAAGCGUUAAUCGGAAUUACUGGGCGUAAAGCGUGUGUAGGCGGUUCGGAAAGAAGGAUGUGAAAUCCCAGGGCUCAACCUUGGAACUGCAUUUUUAACUGCCGAGCUAGAGUAUGUCAGAGGGGGGUAGAAUUCCACGUGUAGCAGUGAAAUGCGUAGAUAUGUGGAGGAAUACCGAUGGCGAAGGCAGCCCCCUGGGAUAUACUGACGCUCAGACACGAAAGCGUGGGGAGCAAACAGG